This 719-nucleotide long non-coding RNA is filed under the name Coffea arabica (coffee). RNAcentral describes it as "long non-coding RNA (CARA_LNC004786)". Lineage: Eukaryota; Viridiplantae; Streptophyta; Magnoliopsida; Gentianales; Rubiaceae. The record is from RNAcentral.
CCAGACCGCUCGGAUGCACUUCUUUUCCCGAGUGUAAUGGUUGCUCGGGCGUCGGGAAGUUGUUCCAGAAGGAGCUCUGCAGAUGCAUUACCGGCUAACUAUCGAUUGAGAAAUCGAAGGCAUAUGCAAUAUCAGAAGAUAAGACAGAUCGGAUCGUAGUAGCUUCUGCUAUUAUAGAAUCGGUUGAAAGAAUUGACACGAAUGCCGGAAACUGAGUUCCACUUUCUUUUUAGCUCUUUCUUUGUCUUCUUAUUACACUUGUACCUCUUAAACUCCUCUAUUGGUUUCCUUAAGAGUCUUUGAAUGCACGAGACAACCCUUCUUGUCUUGUUCAGGAAAGAAGAAAUGGAAGAAGGAAAGAUGAUCUUUCUCUAAACUGUGAUUAACAUAAGAUCAUCGGUUCAUGAACAGUAGAAGAAUAACUAUGGCAGAGAAAUUUUUUUAUCUGAUCGGAUAAAACUAAUUAGUCUUUAACCAUAUAUUGGAUCGGAGAAGUUACAACUUUCCUAAUAUGUAAUUUUACAAUACCUGGAAGCAGGUAAUCUUCUUCUUCUCUUAAGGCAUACUAUUUAUGCGCCACAGAGAGUGUGAUAAAGAAGACCAAGGGUGAAAGCUAUGAAUGUAGAGGAAGGAGGCUUUGGGAAAGCUCCCAUAAAAGGAAAAGAGUGAAUCUGAACUUACUAUUCAGGUACUAAGAGCAUCUUUGAGCUUCUUUCCCU